This 78-nucleotide transfer RNA is filed under the name Candidatus Omnitrophota bacterium. Its description in RNAcentral is "tRNA-Val". It matches the Rfam family "tRNA". Rfam says of the family: Transfer RNA (tRNA) molecules are approximately 80 nucleotides in length. Their secondary structure includes four short double-helical elements and three loops (D, anti-codon, and T loops). The record is from RNAcentral. Lineage: Bacteria; Pseudomonadati; Candidatus Omnitrophota.
GGGCACUUGGCUCAGCCUGGCUAGAGCACUUCCUUGACAUGGAAGGGAUCACAGGUUCAAAUCCUGUAGUGCCCACCA